RNAcentral lists this ribosomal RNA (490 nucleotides) under uncultured bacterium. RNAcentral's name for it is "partial 16S ribosomal RNA". It matches the Rfam family "Bacterial small subunit ribosomal RNA", at positions 30 to 507 of the family's 1533-position model. The record is from RNAcentral.
AUUGAACGCUGGCGGCAGGCCUAACACAUGCAAGUCGAACGGUAACAGGAAGCAGCUUGCUGCUUUGCUGACGAGUGGCGGACGGGUGAGUAAUGUCUGGGAAACUGCCCGAUGGAGGGGGAUAACUACUGGAAACGGUAGCUAAUACCGCAUAACGUCGCAAGACCAAAGAGGGGGACCUUAGGGCCUCUUGCCAUCGGAUGUGCCCAGAUGGGAUUAGCUAGUAGGUGGGGUAACGGCUCACCUAGGCGACGAUCCCUAGCUGGUCUGAGAGGAUGACCAGCCACACUGGAACUGAGACACGGUCCAGACUCCUACGGGAGGCAGCAGUGGGGAAUAUUGCACAAUGGGCGCAAGCCUGAUGCAGCCAUGCCGCGUGUAUGAAGAAGGCCUUCGGGUUGUAAAGUACUUUCAGCGGGGAGGAAGGGAGUAAAGUUAAUACCUUUGCUCAUUGACGUUAACCGCAGAAGAAGCACCGGCUAACUCCGUG